This 424-nucleotide ribosomal RNA is filed under the name uncultured bacterium. RNAcentral describes it as "bacterial SSU rRNA". It matches the Rfam family "Bacterial small subunit ribosomal RNA", at positions 355 to 776 of the family's 1533-position model. The record is from RNAcentral.
UGAGGAAUAUUGGACAAUGGAGGCAACUCUGAUCCAGCCAUGCCGCGUGCAGGAAGACGGCCCUACGGGUUGUAAACUGCUUUUAUACAGGAAGAAUUAUACCUACGUGUAGGUAUUUGACGGUACUGUAAGAAUAAGGAUCGGCUAACUCCGUGCCAGCAGCCGCGGUAAUACGGAGGAUCCAAGCGUUAUCCGGAAUUAUUGGGUUUAAAGGGUCCGUAGGCGGUUUUUUAAGUCAGAGGUGAAAUCCUGCAGCUCAACUGUAGCAUUGCCUUUGAUACUGAAAGACUUGAGUUAUUGUGAAGUAGUUAGAAUGUGUAGUGUAGCGGUGAAAUGCAUAGAUAUUACACAGAAUACCGAUUGCGAAAGCAGAUUACUAACAAUAUACUGACGCUGAGGGACGAAAGCGUGGGUAGCGAACAGG